RNAcentral lists this long non-coding RNA (6124 nucleotides) under Sus scrofa (pig). RNAcentral's name for it is "lncRNA (ENSSSCG00030021897.1)". The record is from RNAcentral. Lineage: Eukaryota; Metazoa; Chordata; Mammalia; Artiodactyla; Suidae.
GGUCAGAGCUGCAGCUGCCGGUCUAUAUCACAGCCACAGCAAUAUGGGAUCUGAGCCACGUCUACAACCUACACCACAGCUCAUGGCAAUGCUGGAUCCUUAACACACUGAGUGAGUCUAGGGAUCUAACCCAUGUCCUCAUGGAUACUAGUUGGGUUAGUUACCACUUAGACACAAUGAGAACUCCUUCAUAUGACGUGUCAUUCUUACUAGUUAGUUCUUAUUUCCCAUGGAACUUUCCAUUGUGGCUCUGGACUUAGGCUCUCUUAGCUGUGAACUAUGCUAUACCAUGUCCCUCAUUCUAAGCUUCCCCUGCACCUUCCACCCCUGACAGAGAUCUGGAUGUCUCCUUACAAACAGUCUCCUUUAAAGAGAGUGACAUGGGAGGUUUGGCUUUCACCUCAAGAACCUCAGAACAUGGAGACAGAUGUGUAUAAACCACUGCUUCAGUUCUCCUUCAAAACCAGUGCUUCUGUGAAAUGCAGGCCAUAGCAUCAUGUCACAUGUCCAUCGUGCUGCGUUCACCUUCCUCUUUCAUUCAUCGAUAGCUUCUCAGUGCCUGCCUUAUUGUCAUCUCUUCCAUCUCCCUGUGAUUCUUCUAACUUUGUCUUUUUUUUUAAUGUAUAUUGUUUGGGCUAUUUUAGCUCCUUUGCUUUUAGCAUGUUUACUUUCACGUGAUUGGUAUUGCUUGCACUCUGUGUAUUGACUACGGAAGAACUGACAUCUUAACAAAAUUAACCUUCCAGUCUAUUUUUGUGAUAUAUCUUUCUGCUUUUUGAAGUAGUCUUUGUUUUGUCUCAAUAAUGUUUUAUAGGUUUAGAGUAAAUUGUACCUAUUGGGUGUAUUUACACCCAAGUAUUGCCUAGUUUUUAUGCUUUUAAAAUAGUGAUGCUUUUAAUUUCAAUCUCCAAUUGUUCUUUGCCAGUAUAAACUUAUAUGUAGCUUUUGCAUAGAUUCUUUGGGGCCCAUUCUGAGCAUAGCUCCCUCUUCAUCUCUGAUACCCCAUACUGUAGCUUCCAGCCAUCUCUUCUUCCCCAAAUUCUAAUCUCUGCUUCUACAACUCGAAGGGUCGCCACAACCUGCUUUGACUCUAACCUUCUAUACUGUUGUCAGGAAAUUAUUCCCAGGGAUAAGGCUGGGUAAUUUGAGCCUCAUCUUUGCACUUUCCCUUCUCUCAGGGAAAAGAUACUGAGCUUGAUGAGGUCAAUGCACCUUGAGAAGAUUUCCUCUUGGUCCCUUGACCUCCAAUGGCAGCUUACCUCCCUCCUCCCACUCCUGUCUUCCAGAGGACCUUUGAAACUAAGUUGUGUUCAGCCACUCUCAUGUUUAAAAUCCUCCAGUGACAUUUCAUUGCAUUUAGUGUCAAAGGAAGUUCUUACAGUCUCGUAAUGGAAAGGUUUAUAGAAUGUUAAAUACCUUUUCAAUCUGCUCUCUGCCCAACUCUCCCUUCCUUCCCAUUCAACCCACAAAUCUCAACCACAUUGGCCUUCGUUGUUUUUCUCUAAGGUGUCUAGCUUAUUUCUGCCUUUGAGACCUGAAGACUUAUGUCCUUCCCAGACCUGGCCCCUCUUGCCAAUAUCAAUUUAAAUGUCACCUCCUCAUGACUCACCUGCCUGUAUGACUGACCUAAAAGAGCAAUCCAGACACUUUUUAUUGCAUUAUCCUGCUUUACAUUUCUGCAUAGUGAAUAUCACUGUUUAUUUGCAGGGUUAUUUGUUUUGUGUUUGUCUAUUAUCCUUAGAAUGCCGCUUUCUUGUAUUUUCUUUGUCUUACUCACUGCUAAUAUCCAUGGCUAAGGGUAGAGGCCAGAACAUAGUAGUUGCUCGAUCAACAUUUGUUAAAAAUUAACAAAUGACAUUUUUCUUCAGAGAUACGGCAACAAAGCCAGAGUGUGCCAUUCCUUCGCCUUUUUUUAUUUUCUCAGAUUUAUCCAAUCUCAUGAGAAUUUUCUCUUGGUUAUCAUAUAGGCAAUAUCUGCUGUGAAUAAUUAACUUCAAAAUUAAACAUAUUCUAGCCCCUUAGAUAGAAUAACACCCUCAUUUUUUCUUUGUGGCUGAGGAGUGAUAAUGGCUUUUUGCUAUGGCUAAAAUCUGGAUUUUUCCCACCUGCUCUACGUGCCUUUUAAUUUUUUUCUAUAAAAAUUGUCACCAAUUGCUUCUACUAAAUUAAAAUGAGGUUCUAAAUACAUACAGUGACUUCUGUUUUUUGUGGAAGGACCCUAUCUGGUAUAAAGGACAAUAAAUAUUUUUAAGUUCUUUAUCUUUCCAGACAUACCUUUCAUUUUAGGUUAGUGAUAAAAUUUUCACCUUUGGUUGUUGAAUCAGUGUAGAUAAAACUUUAAUGCAGAUGUAAAUGAAGUGAAUUAUGUAGAUGUUAAAUAGUGUGAUAUAUAUAGAAAUGAUUUAACACUGCUCUAUAUCUUUAAUAAACCCUAUUUUAGUCAAAUUGUAGAGGAAAGAAGGAAUGCCAGAAUACCAAGACAAGGAUAAACUUUUUGCUACUUAAAAAAAAAGAAGGAGUUCCCAUCGUGGUGCAGUGGUUAAGGAAUCCGACUGGGAACCAUGAGGUCUCGGGUUCGAUCCCUGGCCUCGCUCAGUGGGUUAAGGAUCCCACGUUGCGGUGAGCUGUGGUGUAGGUUGCAGACGCGGCUCGGAUCCCUCAUUGCUGUGGCUCUGGCAUAGGCCGGGGGCUGCAGCUCCGAUUCAAUCCCUGGCCUGGGAACCACCAUAUGCCGCGGGAGCGGCCCAAAGAAANAAAAAAAAAAAAAAAAAAAAAAAAAAAGAAAAGAAAAAUGGGAGAAAGGUGGGUGAGUGGGAUGGAGAGGAGAAAAUAUUGCCUCUGAGGACAAAUUAAUAGAGCAAUUUUCAAAGCGUGGCCUACAGACUUCAGGGGCUUAAGGUCAAACUGUCUUGAUAACAUUACUUUUUUCACUCUGUUGGUAUUUGCACUCUUGGUGCAAAAGCAGUGGUGACUAGAGAUGCUAGCUCCUUGAAACCAAUCAGGGUACUGGCACCAGACUGUCGUAGAAAUAAUGAUACUUUUCACUGCUCUGCAACUGUAGUGAAAAACAUAUCCUAGAUAAAGCAGAAAAAUGCUAAAUUUACGAAAUUUCAAACCUUGAGUACAUGACUUUUAAACAUAUGUUAUGCAUAAAGCAUAUCUGCUAAUAUCUAAGAUACUAUGGUUGCUUCCAGGAGCAAUAUUUGUACGACUGUUUGAAUUGCAAGCUGAACUAACCACUUUUUUUUUCACAGAAUACUGUUUUUACUUGAAAGAAUGGCAGAAAAACUAAAGUUAUUCAGUUUAAGUUUAUGGCAGAUAUCUCUUCAAAAAUAAAUGCAGUAAGCAUGUCACUUCAGGAGAAACAACUUGUAAUUAUUGUUACCAAAGAAAAUUUUAAGAAAAAUGAAAUUUGAAAAAACUUGUGUAAGCCACCGUGAGCUUGCAAGAUUUACAAAAUUAAUUAUGGGAUCAGUGGUGAUAUUAAUGAAUGUGAUUUGUCUGAUUUUUUAAAAUGAAAUAUGUAAGUAUUUAGGAUAUCUGCAUAACCCAGUUGUCCAGUAUUUUUCCUUCAAAGUUAUAAAAAGUGCUACCAAAAACACAAGAUAGACUAAUUUUCAUAGAGUAAUAAAAUUUUACUAACAUAGCUUCAGAUUCCAUGUUAAUUAUUAUUUUUUUUCCUUUUUUAGGACUGUACCCCUGGCAUAUAGAAGUUUCCAUACUAGGGGUCGAAUUGAAGCUACAGCUGCUGGCCUGCACCACAGUCAUAGCGAUGCGGGAUCCAAGCUGUGUUUGCAAUCUAUGCCACAGCUCAUGGCAAAGCCAGAUCCCCGACCAACUGAGAGAGGCCAGGGAUCAAACUCACAUCCUCAUGAACUGUAGUCAUAUUCAUUUUUGCUGUGCCACGAAGGGAACUCUCUCCAUGUUGAUUUUUAAUGAGCUAUCGCUUUUCUAGUUUUGGUGGAAUAUCAGAGAAUACCACAAUUACCCCAAAAGCUAUUAAAAUACUCCUCUCUUUUCUAAAUACCUAUAAGUAUGACAUCAUUUUUGCUUUUUAUAUUUCAAGCUAAAAACAGGUCACAUCAGAAAAAAAUGCAGGAAGAGAUAUGAGACUCUAGCUAUUUUCUUUUUGGCCAAACAUUAAGGUUAUUUGCAAAAUUGUAAAACUAUCACUCUUACUGCUCUUUGUUCUGUUUUGGAAAAAUAUAAUGGGGACAUAAGAAAGAAAAACAAAACAGGAAGAAACAAAAACAACUUUCCUUAGGUAUCCAGGAAAUACCAGCUACCCCCCUGUCCUUACUGGGUCAGUUCCUAAAGGUCCUUAGUGAUGCAGAUUUUUUAGGGCAUGAGCGGUGUCUGUAUUUGCAAAUAAUCAGAGGUACUAAGAGAUAGAAAUAGUCUUCUGAGAGGGAGUGUAUUUCCUGUCACUGAGGUACCUAGUAGUUAGUGGGACACCUUAGACCAUGGCCUCUUAAAUUUCAGUGACCAGAAGAUUCACCUGGGCAUCAUCUUAAAAUGCAGAUUCUGACCCAGUAGGUCUGAGCUGGGGCCUGAGAUCCUGAAGUACUAGCAAGUCCCCAGAUGCUCCUACUAUUGGUGGUCAGUGGAAUGACCUGAGGGCUUUCACACCAUGGGGAAAGAUGAAGCUAAACAGGAUUUCAGUUCAUUUGGUUGUAAGAAUGACCUGGUAUCCUUACUAGUCUAGCUCUCUAGGUUCCUCCCCUGGAGAUUGGGACUUAGUUGAUCUCGGUGGAAGUCUAUAAACUGUAUGUUUACAAAGGAAAUUAUUAUGAUCAGGCCAGUUUUGGAAACACUAAGUUGAUGAUCUUCAUGCUCUUUCUUCACUAUAAUUUCUCUGCAUUUCCCAAAGGGUUAGCUAUUGAUUUUAUAUCUACAUUUUUUGGGGUUAAUUUUUGCCUUUUUUCUUUUGCUCUUUCUUUUGACUCAUACAGAGAUAGAUUCCUACUAGAAGGAGCCACCCCCCUUUUGUUUUUCAUAACAAAGAAUAAGCUUUCCAUGUGACCCUAUUCUCAUCAUUGGGUAGUUAGGUAAUUUUGGUAAGUGAUAUGAUUUUAUUUGUGCAGAAACUCUUUGAGUUUAUAUCAUUACCCUCAUUGUAUGGACUUUAGAAAACUAAAGUUGAUAGAGGCCACAAGACUUACUCAAGGUAACAAGAAUGCAGGAAGUCCUGGAGACAGGAUUUGACUCACAGCUCAGCCUGAACAACAGUCACUCAGACAUUAGACACCUGGUCACCUGUGCUGCCACUCCCCUGCAUGCUUGUGAGACAUGGAACCUACACAAUAUUUGUAUCUUCUGCUUUGCUCUCCUCACCUUAAGGUCUCCAUUUACCUCGGCUUGAUGUCUCCUGCUCAGAACUUUAUGUGCUUAUCUCUCCCCAGGUCUUCUAGCCCUGAAUGAACACAGCCCUGAUUCUGACCUAUGCUGGGGGCAGGAUCACUCUUUCUAAUCUUCCUCUGGUCUCUCAUUCAUCUGGGUCCGAACAGCUAGCCACAUUGGGAUGCAGUGACGUUCCUGACGACAGGCUCUUCAGACCAGCAGUCACAUGCCUUCCUUGAGCUAUUCUUUAGUCCUAACCAGCUAUUCCGAACAGAGCCACAUGGCGGGGCUGGUGGGGUGGGCCAAUUAGCCCAGGUGGGUGAUGAGAGACAGGUUCUAAGCGAAUAAUCACAAUAAUGAAAGUCUAAUUAUGAGCCAUUAUCAGAGUCAGAAAGGAAAGGAAUCCAGUUCUUUGAGAGUUAUAUAACCAUGGAAACGGAAUUAAUUUAGAAGGCCAGAAAAUAAUAAUAGGUAAACCUAUGUACGCAGUUUUUCACUAUGUACCCCUCACUGUACUAAAUGUUUUUUAAAUCUAAAUCUAUUAUUAAAUUUGUUAUGUAACUUGUAAAGGUUACUUUCCAUUUAGUUAUUAUAAAACAUUGGCUACCUUCUGCCUGUUGCACAAUAUAUCCCUGGAGCUAUCUUGUACCCAGGAAUUUGUGCCUCCCACUAAAUGGUGAACGCGGGUGACCUCAUAGUCUUAACAAACAGCUGUAUAGGAAGUUACCUCAUGUUAUAAGUGAGAAAACCAAAGCUCAAGAAGUUAAUACCUAAUCCCAGAAUG